Molecule: ribosomal RNA, 468 nt
Filed under: uncultured bacterium
Lineage: Bacteria
Description: partial 16S ribosomal RNA
Rfam family: Bacterial small subunit ribosomal RNA
Source: RNAcentral
GACGAACGCUGGCGGCGUGCUUAACACAUGCAAGUCGAACGGAAAGGCCCUGCUUUUGUGGGGUGCUCGAGUGGCGAACGGGUGAGUAACACGUGAGUAACCUGCCCCUGACUUUGGGAUAACUUCACGAAACUGGGGCUCAUACCGGAUAGGAGCUCCUGCUGCAUGGUGGGGGUUGGAAAGUUUCGGCGGUUGGGGAUGGACUCGCGGCUUAUCAGCUUGUUGGGGGGGUAGUGGCUUACCAAGGCUUUGACGGGUAGCCGGCCUGGGAGGGUGACCGGCCACAUGGGGACUGAGAGACGGCCCAGACUCCAACGGGAGGCAGCAGUGGGGAAUAUGGCACAAUGGGCGGAAGCCUGAUGCAGCAACGCCGCGUGCGGGAUGACGGCCUUCGGGUGGUAAACCGCUUUCGCCUGUGACGAAGCGGGAGUGACGGUAAUGGGUAAAGAAGCACCGGCUAACUACGUG